RNAcentral lists this ribosomal RNA (245 nucleotides) under uncultured bacterium. RNAcentral describes it as "partial 16S ribosomal RNA". It matches the Rfam family "Bacterial small subunit ribosomal RNA", at positions 15 to 249 of the family's 1533-position model. The record is from RNAcentral.
GAUCCUGGCUCAGGAUGAACGCUAGCUACAGGCUUAACACAUGCAAGUCGAGGGGCAUCAGUUUGGUUUGCUUGCAAACCAAAGCUGGCGACCGGCGCACGGGUGAGUAACACGUAUCCAACCUUCCCGUUACUCUGGAAUAGCCUUUCGAAAGAAAGAUUAAUACCGGAUAGUAUCGAGAGAUUGCAUGAUUACCCGAUUAAAGAUUCAUCGGUAACGGAUGGGGAUGCGUUCCAUUAGGCAGG